RNAcentral lists this transfer RNA (77 nucleotides) under Candidatus Phascolarctobacterium equi. RNAcentral's name for it is "tRNA-Pro". It matches the Rfam family "tRNA". Rfam says of the family: Transfer RNA (tRNA) molecules are approximately 80 nucleotides in length. Their secondary structure includes four short double-helical elements and three loops (D, anti-codon, and T loops). Lineage: Bacteria; Bacillati; Bacillota; Negativicutes; Acidaminococcales; Acidaminococcaceae. The record is from RNAcentral.
CGGGGUGUAGCUCAGCUUGGUGGAGCACCUGCCUUGGGAGCAGGGGGUCGCAGGUUCGAAUCCUGUCGCUCCGACCA